This 78-nucleotide microRNA precursor is filed under the name Salmo salar (Atlantic salmon). RNAcentral's name for it is "mir-16 microRNA precursor family". It matches the Rfam family "mir-16 microRNA precursor family". Rfam says of the family: The hairpin precursors (represented here) are predicted based on base pairing and cross-species conservation -- their extents are not known. In this case the mature sequence is excised from the 5' arm of the hairpin. The record is from Rfam by way of RNAcentral. Lineage: Eukaryota; Metazoa; Chordata; Actinopteri; Salmoniformes; Salmonidae.
GCUGGGCUGUAGCAGCACGUAAAUACUGGAGUUAGCCUUAUUCCGGUAUCCAGUGUUACUGUUCUGCUGUAGUCAGGC